Molecule: ribosomal RNA, 253 nt
Filed under: uncultured bacterium
Lineage: Bacteria
Description: partial 16S ribosomal RNA
Rfam family: Bacterial small subunit ribosomal RNA
Source: RNAcentral
UACAGAGGGGGCAAGCGUUGUUCGGAAUUACUGGGCGUAAAGGGCGCGUAGGCGGCCUGUUAAGUCGAACGUGAAAUCCCCGGGCUCAACCCGGGAACUGCGUCCGAUACUGGCAGGCUUGAAUCCGGGAGAGGGAUGCGGAAUUCCAGGUGGAGUGGUGAAAUGCGUAGAGAUCUGGAAGAACACCAAAGGCGAAGGCAGCAUCCUGGGAAGUUCCUGACGCUCGGGUGCGAAAGCCAGGGGAGCGAACGGG